GCAAGUGCGAUCAAGUGCGUUCCUGCCCGUGAGCAAUCUCGCAACUUAUCACAACUUAUCUCUGUGAACACCUAUACUGUAUCAAGUCAUGUUUAUUUUUUUUUAUGGCGUUAGUUUAUUCAGUACUUUAGCACGCAUUUGCGGCUUGUUAAUAAAUAAAUAAUAUUUGAAAUGGAUGAUGUUUGAGCAGAUCAAACACUCAACAUGUAUCUAGUCAUGAUAGUAUUGUCAAUGUUAAUUUAUAUUCAAGCAUUUGAGGUACCUGAUGUAUCAUCAAAAACAGGACAUUCUAACAAUUGGGCAGUUUUAGUUGAUACCUCCCGCUUCUGGUUUAAUUAUCGACAUGUAGCAAAUGUGUUGUCGAUGUAUCGUAGUGUUAAGCGACUAGGGAUUCCUGAUUCCCAGAUUAUACUGAUGAUCGCUGACGAUAUGGCUUGUAAUCCGAGAAAUCCUAGACCAGCCACUGUAUUUAAUAAUGCAAAACAGCAUAUUAAUGUUUACGGUGAUGACGUAGAAGUUGAUUAUAGAGGUUAUGAGGUAACCGUUGAGAAUUUUGUGAGAUUAUUAACUGGAAGGUUACCCCCAGAAACACCGAGAUCUAAAAAAUUGCUAACCGACGAGGGUUCAAAUAUUCUGAUUUAUUUAACUGGCCAUGGAGGCAAUGGUUUUUUGAAAUUUCAAGACUCUGAAGAAAUCACUAGUCAAGAACUAAGCGAUGCUCUAGAACAAAUGUGGCAGAAAAGGAGAUAUCAUGAAAUUCUUUUUAUCGUCGAUACUUGUCAAGCAAGCUCCAUGUAUGAGAAGUUUUAUUCCCCAAAUAUUUUAGCUGUCGCUUCUAGCUUGGUUGGCGAAGAUUCUCUUUCGCAUCACGUGGACCAGGCUAUUGGGGUCUACAUCAUAGAUAGAUAUACGUAUUAUGCAUUGGACUUUUUGGAAAGAGUAGAACCUUCGAGUACAAGCACACUUGGUGAAUUUCUGCAGAUAUGUCCUAAACGUAACUGCUUAUCCACUGUCGGUGUGCGAACGGAUCUGUUCAUGAGGGAUCCAAACACGGUACCAGUGACUGAUUUCUUUGGUUCCGUAAGACCAAUCGAAUUAACGACUGCCAGUAUCAACGUUUUAUCAGUGAAAAGAAAUAAAACCUUGAUACCAAAAUCAGAAGAAAGACACAGCUAUGCCCCACAGUUUCCUGAUAUGUCUAAAUUUUUGUACAAUCAAUCGUUUGGAAAGUCGGAAUGCGUCUUGCUAAACUGAAUGGCCUUAACCCCUUUCGUGAUCAGCAUCACAUGAGAUCAGCUCAGCUGCGUAUCUUCCUUACUAGCAUCUGCUAUAAUAUAUCACAGUUGCCCGAGUAAUUACUACAUCUGGAAUUGGGUCUGGGUCGCCUUGCGUCGAUCCCGAAAGAGCGACAUCGACGAAUCAGAGGGCAAGAGAUAGAAGUUCCGUACUUUUUUCGCAACUUCGUGUAGCAUGACAUGCCCUGCGUGUGCAUGGUCAGGAUUUCCCGGAAGUGAAGAUUUCCCACAUGCGUCAGCAUUGCCGAAUUUUUCUAAGCGACCUUCCGACAGACACGAUACAGACACGGACGGAAUUAUCAUCUCUUCAGCCGUGUGGGAAAAAUCUGCCUGCGUCACUUUAUCUCCUUUAAAUGGUAAACACUUAGCGAUGGUUAACGGUCAAGUUUAAUGUGGGUUUCUACGUAGCAAUCUGCGAAUGGUGCCAACAAAAAUAUCUCGGAUGCUGAGCUUGUAUAUAAAGAACGAGCUCCAUGGCGAAUGUCAGUACGAGACGUGAGUUCUUAGAUCAUUGAUCUUGACCAGUGCCCUCCAUUCAUUGCUCGAUCCAUUCAGUCCAUCGCAGAGGACGGUACGAAGCUCGAGGAAGG
Molecule: unclassified non-coding RNA, 1885 nt
Filed under: Orussus abietinus
Lineage: Eukaryota; Metazoa; Arthropoda; Insecta; Hymenoptera; Orussidae
Description: putative GPI-anchor transamidase, transcript variant X1
Source: RNAcentral